GAAAAUCCAUAAUUUACUUGAUUUGGUUGUGGGUAAACACAUAUGGUAACAAAUUUAACGUCCUUAGAUAAAUAAAUAAACAGUGAGAUCUAUGUUGUCUCCAUGUUCUUAGAGGUCUAUCCAGAAUCAUACAAUCCGUUGGAAUUUGUGUUGUUUCUGUCAUCUUCAAGUCUCAGUUUUUUAUAUCAUCGCCAUUCAAUCUCGAGUCCACUAAAUGAUAGCUAGUUUUGUUCUGAAAUCUGGCAUAUGAUCCUGUAAAGUAAUAGCCAGAGUUAGUUUUGAAAUAAUGAUACAACAUAAAAUAAGUUAAUGAUACACAACAAAAAAUACUUGUGUAGAAGUGUCAAACAAAAUACCUCCAGUGAAGUAUUCCUUAAAAUUUAACGUCCAUGGACCGCAAGAUAACUUACAUAAUUACGGAACUUAAACAUAUUACAUAAUUUCUUUUAUCAUUUUUAUAGAUAGUUAUAUAAUAUAGUUUUAAAGUUAUCAAAUGGUCAUGACUGUAACAAGCCCUGAAAAAAGAAAAAUCGCACCCACACAGGUGAAUGAGGCACGUCUGAUAAAAUAUAAUGGAUUGUUUGGAAGAAAUAAUCGAUUCUUUUUAUUUGUAGAAGAUAAAGAAAAUUUGUUUGGGUCCAGCCGUCCAGAAUCCAUUCCCACCGCCUACGAAUCCAUUCCCACUAAUUGACAAGCUCUUGUCACUUCCUAAUACAGUAGUACUGAAAAACCAGCAGUCAUCCUCUCCACCGCCCGUCACAUCUCCCCCAUUCCCCAUUUCUCCCAUCACCAGCUCCCUCCCUCCAUAGCCGGCGGUCAGCGAGAUUCACAGCCACUGAUCCCCCCUCCUCAUGUUGAAUCUGGCCGCAGAAGUGGCCGAGAAGGCCCUCGAGCUCGGCAUGCUCGCGCCAGCGCGCUCUAGGCUCCAUCGGAGGCGGACGUGGAGGCGCAGGACUCCACGCCUCUCCUCUGCCCUGCUCCUUCUUCGAAUCCAGUCGCCUAAGUGCUCGAGGAGGCGCUCGAGCUUGGCAUGCUCGUCGGCGACACCGGGCCCCUCCCUCCUCCUGUUGCCUCGCCGCCGCCAUGAGCCCCUCCACCCUCUCCUGUGUGAUUGUACAGCUCCAGGUAAGUCUCUCUCUCCGACCCGACCGCCUGAUGCAAGCUUUGUUGACGAGGAGAGAAAAAACAAUCCCCCAACUGGUGAUAAGAUGGGUGCUGAUGUACUUCAUAUGAUUUCUUCCUUUCCAGGCAGUCUGUUGGCACAAUGAAUAAUGUCUGCUCUUCGACUGGAGCAGUUCUUCCCUGUUGGUAAUCAGAGGAUACAUGCUACUAAUUCUUCAACUGAAAUUAAUUUUCAGUUUGAUCCAAGAGCAAAUCAUGAAGCUCAAGUUUUCUUAGCACCUAUGCCAAAGAGAAGAAGGUUAGUUUCUUUCAAGAAUGAAAGAACUGGUACCAAAGGAACUGCUGUCAGUAAAAGACAUUAUGGGAAGCAAGCUGACACCCCACCGCAACCUGUGCCUAAAGCAAAUGAAGCAAGUGCAGGGGCCAACCCUUUUCUAUGGAGCACAAUUUCAAGCUCAUCAACCAACAUAACCUUUGGCACUAAUAGCAAUCGCACAUAUUGUGGACAGCUUCACAAUGUGUCCCUCACUGAGAAAUCACCAUGAAUGUUCCCUUUCAAGUCACUUCAUAAGUUGUUCUGUUAUUGGGCUUUGUUAGAUAAGCUGAUUUAACUGAGUAUUAUUUUGCUCUAGAUUGUUGCUUUUGGUUGUGAGUGAAUCUAAGAGUUAACAUGGUACAAUAUCUUCUCGAAGAUGAUGUAUUCCUUCAUAAAAAAGGAUGUUGGAGAAGUUAUUAUUGAAGAGGAGUUCAGUCUCAUGUGAUUCUCAAGAGCUAAAAUGGAACAAGAAGUGCAGGCCUCUCAUGUCUACACUAACUAAUCAGGUAGCAUAUGCAAAAUUUUAAGCAUACUACAUUCAGAUAUGACAAUUGAAUAUAAAAACUGGCAAUAAUGUACAGUACACUAUUUCUAAGAAUUUCUGCAUUAGAGGCUUGUUGCUUCAGUUCUACAAUCAGUCAGUUGUUAAUUUGUUGUUUUAUAACUAAUUCAGUAAGAGAUCUUUUUCCCAGUUGGCCAGAUUAUCUGCCGAUGAUAUGAUCGCAGUGAAUAAUAUGUGUUGCCUAUGUUAUAAUGAAAUUUGAAAUACGUAAAGUAACCCGUUGCGUUAUUUUACAUGUGUAUUAGUUCUUCCAAACAUAUAGCCUUUAAAUACUUAUAUUACAGUACAAGUUAUUCACUCGAUUCUACAAUUUUCAGAAAAAACGUGGUAUCAGAAAAGGGCGAAUAGGGGAAGAAUCAACAUAGAUAUUGUCCCGGUUUUAUCCCGUCCUGGAGGUAUAAUUUUUUUAUCUGAUUAAUGAUGGCAACAAAUGUUUGACAUUAUUCAUACUGUUAUGAAAUGAACUUUUCUGCAUGCAGCAAUUGUAAAUGUCUUUGAGAUUCCAAGAUAAUAUAUCUUCAUCAUUCUUUCAUUAUUCCCAAGUUACAUUUUUAUGCAUUAUUCUCCACUAGUUCUGAUUUACCUGUCAUCUCACCUCAUUUUGUCAACUACUCAUUUGUCGUAUAUAUAGAACCCUCAUGGUUGGUCUGUUGGUUUGAGUUAUUUUGUCCCCAAUCUUCGGUCCUAUCAUCUAAUUUCUUGAUUCGAUUACUGCGUUUGUCUUGGCUACCACUUCAACACAAACAUUUAUCUGAUGGUGGUCAAAUUCAACAAUGUUAGCAAUUACUCUCUGGACUACUGAAACUUAACCUCCUUAAAGCAUGGACCAGACCUGCUCCUAGGUGCAAGCUUUGUUAGUCGAGCAAGUGCAAAAAAACUAUCAAAAGAUAAUCUCAUGCUUAAUCCAAUGGAACAUAAAUAAUCUAGCGAGAUCCAAGUAUGAAAGGAAGUAAUUCAACAUUAUCACCUAUUUCUUUAAAUUUGCAUGCCACAAAAGCAAAAUCUUAUUUCUUUAAUCCACCAUUUCCUUUAAUACUUGAAACUGGAAAUGAAAUUCCAUGAAUGCUUUAUUGAAGAACAACUACGAUUGAUUCUUAAGAAAUGUGCAGGUACAUAUGCCAGAACUACACUUACUAUUUCUUAUUACCAUAUCCUUCAUUCACGAAAAAAAAUCCCUACAUAAGAUUGACCCAGCCAAAUGACUAACAAACAUGUAGCCAUGGCCAAUAUUGCAUGAAUUGGCCAUGAACUUCUCAGCACAAACUCUAUCUAUUUCACACUUCUCCUCUGUUCUCGUUUGGACUCUAUAAAUUAAAACAUCACACAUGCAUAUGCAAAGCCAGUGGAAGCAAAGAGAACUUACAUUGGAAGGAGGCACAAUGAAUCUGAAGCACGCUCCAGAAGCAACUGCAAGCCG
Molecule: long non-coding RNA, 3417 nt
Filed under: Triticum aestivum (bread wheat)
Lineage: Eukaryota; Viridiplantae; Streptophyta; Magnoliopsida; Poales; Poaceae
Description: long non-coding RNA (TAES_LNC022856)
Source: RNAcentral